This 730-nucleotide long non-coding RNA is filed under the name Homo sapiens (human). RNAcentral's name for it is "HSALNT0081870". Lineage: Eukaryota; Metazoa; Chordata; Mammalia; Primates; Hominidae. The record is from RNAcentral.
GAGAGAUUAAUUGGUUUACUGAAAUCAUUCUGCAAAUAUGUCGCAGGGGACUCAGGAUUUGUUCCUAGAUCUUUGUAUUAGUCAGCGUCUUCAAGAGAAACCGAACCAAUAGAAUGUGUAUUUAGGUAUAUAGAGAGAUUUAUUUUAAGGAAUUGGCUCAUGUGAUUAUGGAGGCUGGCAAGUCCAACGUCUGCAGGGUGAACCAGCAGGCUGAAGACUCAGAGAGGAGCCAAUCCUGCAGUCAAGUCUGAAGACUGUCUGCUACCAAAGUCCCUCUUGCUCGGGAGAAGGGGACAUGAGACAUCAAUCAACAUAUGUAAAAUGACUAUUGGUUCAAUUCGGAAAGGCGGGACAACUCGGAGCAGGCAGGGGGCUUCCAGGUCACAGGUGUUUCUAGGAGCUGGAAAGCUCACGACAGCAUUGUGCAGGAAGGACACAGAGACAGAAUCGCUGCACCAAGCUGGAGGAGAGAAUGGCACCAGAACGAGCUCUGGCCCAGCGCUCUGUGGAGUGGACCUAUGAGGCCCACUGUAGGAGCAUGGUCCCACCAAUUCAGAUGGCUGCAGGGGCUGGGAAGGCGAUACACAGGACUAAAAGAGACCAUGGGCAUCUGGCAAAUAGGAAAACAUGGGCUCCAUUUAGAGGAAGGAGCUGUGUCUUAAGCCAUUUUGUGUUACUGUAAAGGAAUACCUGAGGCUGGGCAAUUUUUAUAUAUAUAUAUAUAUAUAUA